Molecule: unclassified non-coding RNA, 374 nt
Filed under: soil metagenome
Description: partial contains 5.8S ribosomal RNA, internal transcribed spacer 2, and large subunit ribosomal RNA
Rfam family: 5.8S ribosomal RNA (bases 1-120)
Source: RNAcentral
GAUGAAGAACGUAGCGAAAUGCGAUAAGUAAUGUGAAUUGCAGAAUUCAGUGAAUCAUCGAAUCUUUGAACGCAUCUUGCGCUCCUUGGUAUUCUGAGGAGCAUGCCUGUUUGAGUGUCAUUAAAUUCUCAACUACACUGACUUUGAAUUGGUGUGGCUUGGAUUUGGGGGGAAAAUUGUUGUGGGCUUUUUGUAUAGUCUGCUCCCCUGAAAUUGAUUAGCGGUACCUUUGUGGAACUGUCUACAGGUGUGAUAAUUAUCUACAUCUUAGACAUCUGCUGGAAUGCUGCUUUCUAGACCUUACUUGUAUUGACAAUCUUGACCUCAAAUCAGGUAGGACUACCCGCUGAACUUAAGCAUAUCAAUAAGCAGGA